GGGUCAGAGAGAGAGGGAGACACAGAAUCUACAACAGGCUCCGGGCUCUGAGCGGUCAGCACAGAGCCCGACGCGGGGCUCGAACUCACGGACCGUGAGAUCAUGACCUGAGCCGAAGUCGGGCGCUUAACCGACUGAGCCACCCAGGCACCCCAUAAAUACUGUUUUUAACUGAACCAAGAGUAAACCAUGAUUAUGCUUUUUUUCGUGUACAACUUUUUAUUUUCCAGGAAGUUAAUAACUGCCUCUUUUUUUUCUCCUCCUAGUUUUAUUAUUUUUAUUUUUUAUUUUAUUUUUUAUUUUUUAUUACAUUUAUUCAUUUUUGAGAGACAAAAAGAGACAGAGCACAAGUGGGGGAGGGGCAGAGAGAGAGGGAGACACAGAAUCCCAAGCAGGCUCCAGGCUCAGGGCUGUCAGCACAGAGCCCAAUGUGGGGCUUGAACUCAAAAACCGCGAGAUCAUGACCUGAGCUGAAGCUGGACACUUAACCAACUGAGCCACCCAGGUGCCCCUCCUCUUAGUUUUAAAUGUUCCUAUCACUAAUUGAUUUUUUACUCAGUUCUCCAACAAAAGAGGAAAAUGGUCAAGCAUAAAAAAAUUUUUCUUACUUUUUUUUUCCUUUCCGUUUGUCUCCUUCUUUCUUAUUUUCUUUUUUUUUUCUCUCUCUGCCUUCCUCCCACCCCCUCCCUUUUCUCCUAUAGUGAUUCAUCUUAAGCUUCAGUCUGGAUUGAUUGCUCCUGGAGUUUCCUGUGCAGCAGUCAUUCUAAAUUUUAAGUUCACUAUGAUUCUGGGAAUUUGUUUUUUUCUCUCCUUUGUUGGAUUCUUUAUUUCCAAGGUCUAACAUCUUCCUCUUUUUUUUUUUUUUUUUUUUUUUUGGUUUAUUUUUUCCAACAGUUUCUGGAAGAGGAGAGACCAUUGGGAGAUAAAUUUGCAUGUCUGAAAGUGUAUUUAUUCUAUUUCACAUUUGAUUAAUAAUUGGACUGUUGUGGACUUCUGGUUGAGGAGGAAGCGGAGAUAAAACAGAGUAGACAAAACAUAUGCCUUAUUGGAAUUCCAGAGAAAUGAAGAAUUAAGAAAUGACUGCAUUUUAGAGGUUGCUCUUUCCACAUUGUAUCAACUUUACUGGUGGCAUUAUACUCCUGUCAGCUCAGAACCACACAAGGCUUUGGUUUUCUUGCUCGUAACUGUGUUGGUGUUUUGUGCUUAGAUGCCACAAGGUGUAACUCUUUUUCAGGAGUUUCUGUUUACUCCGCCAGUGAAGUCUUCCUCCGUACCAUAGCUGGCCUCUUAUAGCCAGUGGGCUCAGCAAACCUUUUUAUGCCUGGGCCAGAGAAUGAACUUCUCUUUCCAACUGUCGGAAUAUUUCAAGUGCAGGAUAGUCAGACGAAAUCCUGAAUUUGUUUUACCUCUCGCGAGAAGUAGCUGUUUCGGCUGCCAUUAACAUUCUUGAAACACUUUGGAUUGUAGAUCAACUUUGUUUAUUUGCAUCAAAUAAAUCACUAGUGUUUUCAUUAAAACAUGUCUUCUAAGUGUUUUCAGUACACUUCUUAAGUAACCGAUCUGCGGAUGGUAAUUAUGUUCUAAAAAUAAUCCAGAUCUUGUGAACUAUGUCAAGUAGGUGAACUGUUAUUUUUAAUAUAUCAAAGUAUGAACCAACAAAAUCAAUGAUGUGUUAUUUUUGCCCCAUUUAAUUGAUUAGACAGUGUCUUAAACUAUCUUACCAUAGAUAUAUUUAGCGAAAUUUAUUACUUGCAGACUGAUAUAAUCAUGAAUUAUUAAAAGCAUCAGCAUAUGGAACCCACUCUUCCCUCAUUCCAAAUUCUUUUAAUAUGGCUUAUGUUGAGCCAUUUAACUGGCUUCUAUCCAUCCCACCGAUGGAAGCUGCAGCCAGAUGAGGAUUCUUAUAAAUGAUUGGCUUCCUUUCCAAGCAAAAGGAGGAUGAAAUGUCAGCUUUUUCCUCCACUACCUGAAAAGCAAUCAGUGGCAACCUUUCCUGGCCUUCUUGACAGUAGUUUGGCUCUAUAGAAGAGGGUGGGCAUUUAGCCAAAUGUGAAUUUCAGUGCUAUAUCAGGAAAAAAGUAGCUAAAACUCAGAUAAUAGCUGGAAUUUGCAGGGAGGCAUUCAGAUGGGUCUAACCUGUGAGUCUUCAGUAAGCUAACCAUAGCUCAGAAAUUCCUGAAGUGCGCAUUUUAAUCCCUUCUUUCCUAGCGAUGAGCUGAGUGACCAGAGGUUACCUACCAAAUCUGUCUUCCCGGCUGUGUGCGCUCCUCUGUAGGACUGGGUUUAGGGGUACCAACAGCUUCAGAAUAGUGUAGCAUGGUGACUGAUUACCGACGACAAAUCAAGACCACUGAAAAGGACUCCAAGGAAUCAAACCUUGGAGUUCAAGACCAUUUAUUAACUCGAACUUAUGCUUUGAAAUUUGUUAUCCUUAUCUGUAAAAUGGGGAUAUUAUUUAUUUCACAGGAUUAUUAUGAAAUCUUAAAUAGUAUAUGUGGAAGCAUUUUGUAAGUGGUGUGGGACUAUAAAAAGUAAAGUGUUGUUAACAUAAGGCUGCUAGUAUAAUGCUUUAUCACAUGGAACAAAUUUUAAAAUUGUGAAGGACACUGGUGGGGAAACACUGAAAUUCACAGGACGGUGUUUUUUUGUUUUUUCUUUUUGUUUUUUGUACCCAUAUAGGCUCUAUUAUGUUUUUUCUGUUGUUUAAUCCUUACAACUCCAAGAGUUAACAUUCUGUUAGCUCUGUUCUUACAGACGAAGAAAGUGAGACUUACUUAAGAUCUACCUCUCCAUCAUUCUGUCUUACAAAAGAGGAAAUGGAGACUAAAGAAGAUUCUCAGUCCAUCAUUCCAUCUAUUAUAAUAUACUACUAUAUUUUCAUAACUGUUUUUAUCUUGCACACAAACUUGGCCCCCAAAUUAAAUAGGAAACACAAUAGCAAAUAAUUAGAUUGACAGUGUAAAUAGAGACAGACUUCCGUCACUGGCGUUAUGAUGGAUUAGAUAUGCUCUAUGACCCUCCCAACUGAACAAGUAAAAUACUGAAUGAAAUAUCAUAAAGCAGUUUUAGCGUAUUGCUAAGCUGGCAUGAAAGUAAGGUAUUUGUUGACUCACUAAACAAAAUGAGGCUGGGUAUCCUGGUAGGUGAUUGGGAACCAGAGCCAGCUUUGCGUGGACGUUUUUGUAAUUUGAUGACCUGGGGCUUCUGCUAUGAAGAAUGGGGCAGGGAAGCAGGAUGGACAGCCUGUGGCCUAUGUAAGUUGGGGAAUCUAGAAAGAACUUCCUGGAGAAUCCAGGAAAUCAAAAGACUAUAUUUUCAGUUAAAGGGGAAAAGAAGUAGGUCUGUAAUGAUCCUGCUGUUGAGAACUACAGUUUUAAGCCACCUUCACAUGGUUCGUGGUCCGAAUUCAUACAAUAGGUGUCAUCCAAAUACACUUUCAGAGAAUUUCGUUGGAAGUGGCCCUGAAUUGGUAGGGACCAGCAGAAGUAGACAAACCCACUCUUGAGUAAUUCAUCUUCAAUCUGGGUCUCAAUUCUUACAAAUAAAGUAUCUCAGGAAAAUCACAGUUACAACCCACAAGACCAUAAAGAAAUAAGGCAAUAUCAUGACUGAGAACCAGCAGAAAUUCACCUUCAAGGACUCUGAUUAUGGGAUUAGAUUAUUAGAUUCAAAGAAAUUGUUGAGGGGCGCCUGAGUGGCUGAGUUGGUUAAGCGUCCGACUUCAGGUGGUGAUCUCUUGGUUUAUGAAUUUGAGCCCCUCAUCAGGCUCUACGCUGACAGCUCGGAGCCUGGAGCCUGCUUUGGAUUCUGUCUCUCUGUCUCUCUGUCUCUCUCUCUGCCCCUCCCCCACUCAUGCUCUUUCUCUCAAAAAUAAAUAUUAAAAAAAUUAAAAAAAAAAAAAAAAAAGAAAUUGUUGAGAUACAACCCAAAGAGACCGAAAAGUGAAGUGAUGUGGAGAGUGGAGGAUGUCUAAUCAAGAGUUCUAGAAGGAGAAGAGAGGAAGGGUGGAAAGAGGCCCUCUGAAAGGAUAAUGGCUGAGAACUUUCCGUUAUUGUUGAAUUCCAGACUUCAGAUUCAGGAAGACCUAUAUAUAAAUCACGAAGCAGGUGAAACCACAGUACACCAAAGAAAAAGAGAAGACCUUAAGCUCGUCU
Molecule: long non-coding RNA, 4154 nt
Organism: Acinonyx jubatus (cheetah)
Lineage: Eukaryota; Metazoa; Chordata; Mammalia; Carnivora; Felidae
Exons: 2
Source: RefSeq, a predicted model, not a curated record